UAUUAAAGAGUUCAAAUCGAAAAUAAGGAUUGCGACCUCGAUGUUGGAUUAAAAUUUGUAUUUGGUGU
This 68-nucleotide transfer RNA is filed under the name Aphthona sp. EMHAU-15071309. RNAcentral describes it as "tRNA-Ala". The record is from RNAcentral. Lineage: Eukaryota; Metazoa; Arthropoda; Insecta; Coleoptera; Chrysomelidae.